Molecule: long non-coding RNA, 701 nt
Filed under: Equus caballus (horse)
Lineage: Eukaryota; Metazoa; Chordata; Mammalia; Perissodactyla; Equidae
Description: lncRNA (ENSECAG00000049153.1)
Source: RNAcentral
GGAGAGCUCCUCCACGGGGAGCUAAAACCUAACAUCAAUUGACACAGAAAGAUGAUUUUCGGGAUCGCCUCACCCUCCGGCUUGUUUAGAGGUUGUUGCCGUCCUCAGUGAGUGUGAGAGUGGCUUAUAAAUAGGAUCAGUGUCUGAGGCUUGAGCAAUGGGAAGAAUGGAGUUGUCAUCAACCAAAAGAGGAGAAACUUCCAGUGGAGUGAUCUUGGAGUGAAAGUUUUGAACUCAGUUUUGGUCAUGUUAAGCUUUUGAAAAUCUUGCCGUUUAUGAUUGCCUUGUGAGGCGGCCUAGAAUGGUGGUUACAAGCUCAGAUCCUAGAAUCAGACAACCGUGUUCAGUAUGAUUUCAUCACUACUGGCUGCAAGAAAUUGGAUUAAGUCCUUAAUCUCUAUAGGGAUUCAUUUUCCUUCUUUACAAAAUUGUAACAAUAUUAUUUUCUAUCUCACAAAAUUGUGGUGAAGAUUAAAAGACAUAAACCAUGCAAAAUAUAUCCCUUUCCUCAGGGACUGACAUCUUAUCCAUCCACUCAACCAUAAAUCUGAGAGUCAUUCCAGAUGCUUUCCCUUCUCUACUCCACUCCCUAACAUUGCAAGUCCUGUCAAUUCACAGUUCUGAAACUUCUAUCAUCCAAAGUCAUCUCCCUAUCUCAUCACCUGCCUACACUGCUUUCAUCAAUAAUUUCCUAAUUUGCC